RNAcentral lists this long non-coding RNA (1287 nucleotides) under Apteryx rowi (Okarito brown kiwi). RNAcentral describes it as "lncRNA (ENSARWG00000004863.1)". Lineage: Eukaryota; Metazoa; Chordata; Aves; Apterygiformes; Apterygidae. The record is from RNAcentral.
UAGGACUUCUGUUCUACUUUUGUUUGGAAUUCACACUUGACUCUGGAUUUUUAUUUCUUGUCCAAAGCAUUCAGGUAAAAUACUGAUUGCCACUUUUUUCUCCUAACUGAUUACUAGUAGGCUGGCAAGACCUGUAUAUUAUCUUCUGAUGCCUGCCAUACUCAUAAUAUGGUUUUGUUUCUAAAUUGGUUUCAAGGUGAUAUCCUGAUAAUAGACUUUUUAUGGAAUACCAGAUUCACAGGUAUAGUUUAGCUGCUGUGCAUUAAUUUGGCAAUUCACAGAGUCACAAACGGGACUUACCUGCUUUCUAUUCAAUUGCUUCCACUGUGCUUCUGUGUUAGAUUGGAGUCCUCCAGUAAGAAAGCAGAAGCAGCAGCCUCUAAGGAGUAAGGAAUCCCUGCCCAUCACAGGCUAGGCCUGCUUCAUGUUCUGGGAAGUUUUUUUUUUCUCUCAGGGAUUGCUUGUGGGUAUAGAAGCUUGCGGGCUUAAUGCCCAGCAUUUUCAGAUGAAUGAACUAUAGGUGUGGCUUUUUAGAUAAGAUGUGAGGUAUAACAUUUGCUUCUGCCUGGAAGAUGCUGUUCUGCCUUCUUCCUUCCUUUUACCCUCACCAUCAGCAUUGUCAGCCCCUAUCCUAGCUGGGUAUUUCUUGCUUUGGCUUCAAGGUAACACUCUUGUGUAACAAUCCAGUAUGCCAAUGGGGUUGUGUUAAAUUUUCUUUCGCUGUUUAGUCAUUAAGUGUCCUGGUAGAAACCGAUCAGGAUCUGAAAGACUCUCAAAGAGUUAAGUGGUUUCUCAUCUCCUUAUUAGUGAUUUCUUUCUUUUGUUUGAGGUUGCUGCCUUCGCUUUGAGCUCAGUGGAGGGAAGGAUCCGGGAGCUGCUGUCUGUCACAAGUGCCUGUCUCAAUGUCUCGAGGCCAGAAGUGUGCCAAAAAAUUUCAGAAAUGUGGAAAAACAUCAUUCUCUGGACAGAAUAUUGAACAGGAUGAACAAGUGACGGUAACAAAUACGUCGAUAAGCUSAUCAUGUUGCACAUUAGAUGAUGAAGAUAUUUCUGUCCCUUGACAUCUCAUGUUCUCACAACAAAUGAUUAUACAUCAAAGAAAUGAGCUCUGAGUCAAAAUGACAGUAAAGAUGAUGAGCUAGAAAAUAAUGGAAGAGCUGGUACCUAUGAAAUUACUGCAAAUGACUGAAGGAAUGGGGUAAAGGAAAUUGCUCAGAAAGUUGUUCAGAUGACUUAAACUGCUGUCUGAAAAAUAAAUAAUCUAGGGUAUGACUUCUAGAAAUGAAA